GUGGGGAAUAUUGGACAAUGGGGGGAACCCUGAUCCAGCCAUGCCGCGUGUGUGAAGAAGGCCUUUUGGUUGUAAAGCACUUUAAGCGAGGAGGAGGCUACCGAGAUUAAUACUCUUGGAUAGUGGACGUUACUCGCAGAAUAAGCACCGGCUAACUCUGUGCCAGCAGCCGCGGUAAUACAGAGGGUGCAAGCGUUAAUCGGAUUUACUGGGCGUAAAGCGCGCGUAGGUGGCCAAUUAAGUCAAAUGUGAAAUCGCCGAGCUUAACGUGGGAAUUGCAUUCGAUACUGGUUGGCUAGAGUAUGGGAGAGGAUGGUAGAAUUCCAGGUGUAGCGGUGAAAUGCGUAGAGAUCUGGAGGAAUACCGAUGGCGAAGGCAGCCAUCUGGCCUAAUACUGACACUGAGGUGCGAAAGCAUGGGGAGCAAACAGGAUUAGAUACCCUUGUAGUCC
This 451-nucleotide ribosomal RNA is filed under the name uncultured bacterium. RNAcentral describes it as "partial 16S ribosomal RNA". It matches the Rfam family "Bacterial small subunit ribosomal RNA", at positions 354 to 796 of the family's 1533-position model. The record is from RNAcentral.